ACACGACUACAUUAGAUACCCCUGUAGUCCCAGCCCUAAACGAUGCGCGUUAGGUGUAUCGGUGACCACGAGUCACCGAGGUGCCGAAGGGAAACCGUGAAACGUGCCGCCUGGGAAGUACGGUCGCAAGGCUGAAACUUAAAGGAAUUGGCGGGGAGCACCACAACGGGUGGAGCCUGCGGUUUAAUUGGACUCAGCGCCGGGAAGCUCACCGGAUAAGACAGCGGAAUGAUUGCCGGGCUGAAGACCCUGCAUGACAAGCUG
RNAcentral lists this ribosomal RNA (264 nucleotides) under uncultured archaeon. RNAcentral describes it as "partial 16S ribosomal RNA". It matches the Rfam family "Archaeal small subunit ribosomal RNA", at positions 717 to 982 of the family's 1478-position model. The record is from RNAcentral.